Parus major (Great Tit) is the source of this 5928-nucleotide long non-coding RNA. RefSeq lists it as uncharacterized. The transcript has 4 exons. Lineage: Eukaryota; Metazoa; Chordata; Aves; Passeriformes; Paridae. The record is from RefSeq and is a predicted model, not a curated record.
GCGGCGCUGCGGCCAUCUUGGCGCUGCCCGUGAGGGGGCUGUGGCGUGAGUGCUGCUGCUCUGCCCUGCCCUGCCCUGUUGGGAGCUCUCUCCGGGGUUAAAUUCUUCCCGCCGCACGGGCGCUAGUGGGUUUGAGAGGUAAAACGCCUUCCAAGGCCGGCCCUUCAGCAGCUCUCCCCCUCUUCCAGUGGGUCACCUUUCUAUAAUUCACCGUGUUGCUUCUCCAUCGCCGUCCUGUGCCCCAUCUCUGCUGGAUUCCCGGAGCGACAUCAUGCCGCAUUCUUUGGGCCCCCACAUUUGUGUUCUCCUAGAAGAACAGUUCUCCUUCCAAAAAAAACGAACGAGCUAGGUUAUUACAAUUGACCCUCGAUAAAGUUGUAUUGCAGUGUAUCUGUGUGUCCAUUCAGCACCCAUAUCCUCGCACCCGGCGCUGCAGAAAGAACGCAAUUGGAUUUUUUCUGUUUUGUAUCAUGGCAUUCGCUAUUAUUGUCUCUCUUUCUUCCUGUUCACCUCACAAAAAUGAUUACGUCCUCUCUGAAGGACUCAGGCAUUUAAGCUGAGAGCUGCAUCAACUCCUACAGAGCAAUGAAGCUGCUGCCAACCUCCCGGUCAGAGUCAAGGCUCACACCAAGGCUCUCCCAAAAAUUCUCACUGCCAUAGCUGAAGGCAUUGCCGUUCCCGGCUGUCUCUCCCACCUCUUCAUCAGGCAUGACUGCCCCUAAAGCAGACUUGAUAAAAAAACCCCACUAUUUCCAACCCUUACAAUUCACAGUUUUCAUGCACUAGUUUCUGAAGGUGACGCUGAGAUUCUUUUUCAGACUGUGAGCUGUGCCAGUUGGGGCUGGUCCCUUAUUACAUUCUCCUGUGCCAGGUGUGAGGAGGAAUAAAUAGGUGAUGGCACCUCAAACCACUGCAUCAAGCUCUUCUAGGGCUCAAACCUGCAGGUUUUGAUUGCACGAUAGAAAGGAUGCCAAGAAGAUCACAUUUUUAUCACUCCAGGGAUUAUAGUCCAUGCCCAUUACUUUUCCAAGGGAUUUUUUUUGUUGGUGUUUCCAUGAAAAGAUUAACUUUUCCAUUGAAUAAUCACUAUUUAUUGAUCAUUUACAGAAUCUUUGGUAGUUAAAAAAAAACAAACAAAACAUAACAACUUUCUGGUUUUGAUAUGCUAUCAAAAUAUUUUCCAGAACAGAUUGGAUGUAUUUUACAUCAGUAAGGAGUGCUUUUUGCAAAAAACAAACCUUGACAGUUAGGAAAAUGAGAUUAAAAAGGCUACAUUCCUAAGUUACUAAUGAAAUAAAAGAAAUUUAUAUCUAUCUGAAUUGAAUCAAAAGACAGUGAAAAUUCCUGGGAGAAUAUAGUAUCUGAAGAGCACUGAUGCUCUGUGCAUAUGAUGCCAUAUGUGCAUACUGCUUUUCUAAGGUCUUUGUUGCACUGGCUGACAAAAUGCUAAAUACUACAGUAAAAAAAAAAAAAAAGGAUUUUUUUAAGGUAGAUCUGAGAUAAAUCUUUUAAAAGUGAAUCUGAUUAGUAUGUUAGAAAAUACAUCAAAGAUUCCCAGUUAUUUAGCAGUAUAGAGUGAAGGUGCUUAUCUUCUGGUUUUAUUGUUAACAACAUACUUUCACUUGCACAUAAUCUAGAUUUCUUAAUCAUCGAAAAACCUCAUUCCAUUUGCACCAAUAAUAUAGCCCUUUGCAUCAUGUGAUUGUUAUUGUAGAUAAUUUAUGUUUGAUCAAGUAAUAGUUUGUGACUUUUCAGAUGAAAAGUUUUAUUAUUAUGUUGAUGAUGAAAUCUUUUCUAAAAUUCUUUUCAGUUUUGAUUCAUAGACCCUAAUUUAUAAGAAGCAUCAAUUACAUGUCUGAGAAAGACGAACAAAACUCUGUAAUUCCUCAUCUUAUUUUCUUUUAACACAUUUUUUUUUCUUUGAGUAAGCCUAAUAUGGGGUUUUUUUCCUGUCUUUUCAAAAGGAAGUGUUAUACCCAAGUAUUUGUCUCCAGGCAUCAGGAGAUUAUUGAAACACUUUUGUUACUAUUUCUUUCAUGACCCUUCCUAGUCAUAAAAUGUUAAAAUAGGUUAAUAAGAAAUCAAAACCAUUUGUUACCAUUGCAAUUAAGGUAACAGAUACUGCCAAAGCACAAAUAUUAGCUGGGCAGCAUCAGAACUGAAUGACUGAUUAUGUCCUUACAGGGGCAGCAGCAGUGAGCAGGACACAUAAUAAUUAUGGAGAUGGUGAUUUCUCAUCAUUCUGUUUCCACAAAUUGAUCAUUUUGAAAAUGAUAGAAGUGCAAAAUUGUCCUUUACAAGCUCACAGGACAUGGAAAUAGUGCUCAUACAUAUUUCAUAUAACUGGUGAAGGUCAUCAUCAGACUCAUAAUUCAUUAUGCAUUUUAGCUGAAUAAGAGUGCUCCCUAAAACUCAAUAGUCAAACAGACUGUUCUGAUCUGACCUUCCUUUGCAUCUCACUUUAUUGUUACUGUCCCCCCAGAUGCCCAUGAAGGCAGCCAAACAGAGGAAUUAUGCGUGAUGUAAAAAACUUCGCUUGACAGCAACACAGUAAACAUACUGCAUCUGCUCAAGCCAUCAAUUUAACUGGACAUUUUGCCUCCAGCAGGGACCAAGAGCAGGCAUUUGGAAAACAGUGCAAUCAAUGAAAACUAUUGGGUUUUUGUCCUGGCUCCUGGCACUUACUGGAGCAAGUAAUUAUUCAAUCUUCUCCUUUCUCCAUCACAUUCCCUAAUUUAAUCUCAUAUAAGAUGAAUGUGUCUCCAUGUUGCUGACCCUUCUUGUUUCUCUUUAUAAUCUUUCAAACAAUUCUGUGUUCAUUUCUGGGAUUGAAGUAGCAGAACUGUCAGUAUUACUCAGCAUAUGGGUAUAGUAUAUACAAAAGUCAUAAGGAUGUUUCCUGUUUUGUUCUCACUCCCAAGAAUAAAAAUUCCCAACAUCUUAAUUGACUUUUUGAAAAGUUCUAAGCACUAUGCACAAUGGUUUCAAAAACUAUUUCCAAAGCGGUAGUAAUUAAUUGUUCUGUUAUAGAUAAUUAGGAUUACUCUCCUGCCAGUACACUGCUUUGCAUUUUUCAGUACCACCAGGUAUUUUACUGUGUAAUUUAAAAUAGGUCACACAAACUUUAUCACCUAUUUUCCCAUGUCUUCAAUAACAGCUUUGAACAGCACUGGAGGUCCAAAUAUAAAUGGUACUAAGAGCGCUCUACAGAGCAAUUAGUAACCUCUCUUGGUCAUGACUAUCAAUUGACUAUCAGCUUUACCUCCUACCUUUCAGUUGUUCAUUGAUUCUGAAUGGAAUCUGAAUAUCUUUUCACCCCAUGAGGAAUUAGUUUGGUAAAAGUACUUAAUGUUUACAGUAAACAUGUGGUAAACAUAUUUGUUGUUACAGGUCUCUCUGGAGACAGGUGUGUAACACCAUUAGGGCCAGGCCUGAAAAAUUUAGGGGAAAGUUACAAGGUCAUUUGCUAGAUAAUUUAUAUUUAUAUAAAUUUAUAUUGUUUAUAUUGUUUUCCAGCAUAUAUUAACUAGACAUUCUCACUGUACUAGCAUAUGUUGAUAACCCAUGCUGUUAUUGUUUUGUAUAAUAAUGUUCUUUUUAAUUUUUGUUGUAUUAUAUGUGCUAAUGCGUAGGCAGGCAAAUGCAUCACAUGUGCAUACACAGAGUGUUCUGUUGAGAUCCUCCCCAGCUAAAAACCGAUAGAACUAACACCAUGAUUUGCAGAUUUCACUGUUAGAUGAGAUCAUCUUAACAGCCUUCUUACAUAAUCCAUGUCUUACUUUUGGCUUACAACACAUUUCUGUUUGACAUGUUGAUUUAGUAGCGACAUCACUUCCUGCUGCAUGUGCCUGUGUCCCAUCCCCUUGCUUUAGCACCAGUAACUUGCACCUGUUUAAAGUGCCAGAUUCUCCUUACUCUCUCUGAAGCUGGAUGGAAACUGUGGUACUGUGAUUCAAACAGGGGUGCGUGGAUGUGUCUUGUCUUAGCCCAGCCCCAUCAGGUGCCAUCGACCUGCCCUGAGUCACUUCUCACCAUGGGUGUAUUGCACCCAUCGUGCAGGUGUGCUGUAGGGUUAUGACACACCGUGACUCAACAUGAACUCAUAGAGCCACAUCAGCCCAGGUCUUCAUGUGAUUUAAAGAUUUCAAGUGGUAGAGGAUCUACAAUGUUACUUAUUCCUGUGGACUUCACAACACCACAGAAAAUGUAAGAUAUCUUUUUCUAGAACACAACGGGGUCCUUGGGUAUCACGAGAAAUUAAAAUUCAAGCAAAUGCUGUUGCAGAAGGCUGAGGGGGAUAAGAUUCAGAGAGUUUGGAUAUUUGGGGCAGUGCGAAGAUUAGCUGUAUUUUUUGAGACAAGCCAAUCAAUGAGGAAAACCACACUCCAUAUCCAAAGCAUCUUCAGAGUUUUUGGUCCAAUCAUUGUCUUCCUUGGCCACUCUCUCUGUCUUAAGUCAGCAAGGGAGAAAAUAAUUUAACCAAAAUGAAAAUCAUAAUGAUGCUCUGGAAAACUUUCCAUGAAUUUGCGCAUAGAGACACAUUUAAAAAUAUUAAUUAUACUGGGUCUUAGCUUUACUUUUCCUAUAAAGACCAAAAAAGACCAAACCGAAAGAGAACAACAGAAAAAAAAAACCCCAACAGCUUCUCUUUUUUACUCUCUCAGAGAACUGAAAAAGUAACAUAGCAAAACAUAAAGAUUUAUUUUAAUGUAAAAGCAAAUAUGCCAGACCAGCCUCAGUACAAGAGAGACUACAAAUACAAACACAGUGACUGCUGGCAGUGUUGGUUCUUGAAUGAGUGCUUCAACUGAGGUUGAUGGAAUGUUUCAUUUAAGCUCACUGGUGUCUGUCCAGGAAAGAGGACUUAUUUCAGGAAUGGCCUCAGUAUGUCACAGCCUUCUUAUUAUUCACUAGGUGCCUUGAACAAUUUCAUGCUGCUGCUUCCUGAAUUUAGCAUGUAAACCUUUACUAAGUGGAAUAGAAAAGAGGAGUAUUUAAAAUCCUGGAGUAAAUCACUGAAAUUAUUUGCUCUACCCCUAAGCCCAGAGUAAACCUCUGCAUGAAAUGACAGAAAGAUGCUGUUAUCAGUACAAGCUAAAAGACAAGGCCCACAACAUUAGUUAUAGAGCACACCAUGUGUCUGAGAGAAGCUACUUGAAAACUGUAAGAUUGAACCCAAAGCCUUUCUCAACAGGCACAAUCAAAAUUAGUCGGGGGGUGAUGCUUUUCUGCACAAAAGGAUGUGAAGUAAAAGAGGAUGUGCAUGAGAGAUGUUUUGAGAGAGCAGAGCAUCAAACAGUGUUUGGAGACACUUUACAAAGAGAAAAAAAUGUAUGAAUAACUGAUUGUAUGUAAUGUGUUUUAGAUUGUUCUUUGUUAUAGGAGCUGAAUAUUUGAGAGCAACAUGAAGACUAAAUACUCUCACAUAUUCCUGGUGUCAAAAAUUCUUGUGUGGCAAGGAAACAGCAGUACAUCUCCUGAUCUCCAGACAGCAUGGGAACAGCUGAAUCAUCCAGUCCUUCUGUCCUCUUGUUUGUCACAUACAGAAACACCUUACUGCUUCCUGCAUAUGAAGAAGUGUAUUUUUUAAGAUGGAUCCCACUUCCUUUAGGUCUACUGAAAGAAGCAAAAAAGCUGUCUUGCACACAGGCAAGUCUGUUCUCUGUGAACAGUUACAGAAACUUCCCAAUGCACUUCCUCUGAAUCCAAGUCUUCCUUGAGACUGUCAUUAGCAUUUGCCAGCUGAGUCAAGUUCCAAUGGUAAUAGCUUUUCUUCAGGAAUUAUUUAUACACUGACAGGAAAACUACAUCCUUCUUCUCUAACAUCUUGAGACUCUCAAUGAAAAAAGAAGAAGUUUCAGUUCUGUGUAUAUUUUAUAUAUCUUACUGUCAAAUUCAAAAAAUGGGGUUUGUGAAUGGUUUCUCUGA